GGACAGGUUCUGUCGGGGGUGACACCAGGAGAGAGGGACAGGUUCUGUCGGGGGUGACACCAGGAGAGAGGGACAGGUUCUGUCGGGGGUGACUAGGAGAAAGGGACAGGUUCUGUUGGGGGUGACUAGGAGAAAGGGACAGGUUCUGUUGGGGGUGACACGAGGAGAUAGGGACAGGUUCUGUUGGGGGUGACACGAAGAGAUAGGGACAGGUUCUGUCGGGGGUGACACCAGGAGAGAGGUACAGGUUCUGUUGGGGGUGACACCAGGACACUGGGACAGGUUCUGUCGGGUGACACCAGGACACAGGGACAGGUUCUGUUGGGGGUGACACCAGGAGGAGGGACAGGUUCUGUUGGGGGUGACACCAGGAGGAGGGACAGGUUCUGUCAGGGGUGACACCAGGAGAGAGGGACCAGUUCUGUCGGGGGUGACACCAGGAGAGAGGGACAGGUUCUGUUGGGAGGACAGCGCUGAUCGUGUGUCAGCAUCAGGAAAGGAGAAAGGCAGAGGGAGAGCAUUGAGAAGACUGUUCACACCAGAGUACUUACUCAUUUUUAUUUACUGCUAUAGGAUAAGCAACCAGGUAGUGUUCAUAACAGUUAGCUUUACCAAAAUUAAAGUUCAAAUUAUAUGUUUAAAAUAUUGUAGCAGAAGAUAUAUGUUUAUACUGGACUAUUUUUACACCUUCUAAUAUCCUGUCCCAAGUUUGGGCACAGAUGGUGGAGUUGGGCUGGCAUCAUGUCCUGUGGCCGCCCCACUUGCCUGUCGGUGCCGCUCCAUCCCAGACCCCAGGGGUGCCAGCUCAGGGCCAACCACAGCAGCCCUGUGUGGGCGUCACCUCCUACCCCGGCCCCCGCCCUGGGCUGCUGUGGCUGCCUGCUUUUGUGAAUGGUGUUUUGUUGGCACAGGGCCUGUCCUGUGUGUUCACACAUGCCUGUGGCUCCUUCUGCUGUACAACUGGAGUGGGGAGGAGUUGAGAUGGAGACGCCUUGGCCCUGGACACUUAUCUGUCCCUCUACUGGCCCAGCUCAAUCUCCUUCUGUGGGCAAUCACGUGUGCACUGGCCACCCUCCCACCCCACACCACACACCAUGAGGGGAUGGCACAGGGGGACGAUGAGCCUGGACGGUGAUGUUAUCAAUAGGCCAGAACAUCCUUCAAACACUGAACCUGCAUCUUUCCUCCUCUUACUACUGAACACUUUGUGAGCUCUGGUGGUCCAGGGUGUGGCAUUUGUCCCCUGGCCUGUGAUGGGGAAUAAUGGGCACAGCGAGAUGCUUGACUUCUUUCUUUUGACCUCUUAAAAAACUAAACUAAGCCAAACCACAAAGGAAAUCUGCACAACUUAAGAGAAACUUGAAAGGGAUCGUGUAACUACUAGUUUGUACUAAGUUUUUUUCAAGAAAGGGAAACAAAUUUAUAUAUAUAUAUGUGCAAUAUAUUUUUACACUGUGUGAUUAACAUAAGGGAGUACUGAGCGUAUCACUUUAUCAGUGUGACAGGUGAUGUCCAUGUCAUGGCUGUUCUGACUCUGAAAGGCACUUCUGCCAACGUCUAAACCGCACUCACUGGGAACGUCUGUGGGGUGGGGUGGCUGUGCUGUCCCUUCUGCAGGUGAGAGGCGUGGUGUCGCCUGUUGGACUUGCUGUUGAGCCUGGCUUGCAAACCUGUAGUGAAACAGCUCAUGUCUGUGUGCACAUGCCCCUGUGUGUCUGCUGUCAUUAACAUUGUGUGUCCAGUUGGUAAAGUGACAAAUAAAGGUGUUUUAAAACGUG
Long non-coding RNA from Macaca fascicularis (crab-eating macaque), 1778 nucleotides. The record is from Ensembl. NCBI's taxonomy places the organism in Eukaryota, Metazoa, Chordata, Mammalia, Primates, Cercopithecidae.